Molecule: ribosomal RNA, 253 nt
Filed under: uncultured bacterium
Lineage: Bacteria
Description: partial 16S ribosomal RNA
Rfam family: Bacterial small subunit ribosomal RNA
Source: RNAcentral
UACGUAGGGGGCAAGCGUUGUCCGGAAUUAUUGGGCGUAAAGAGCUCGUAGGCGGUUUGUCGCGUCGGCUGUGAAAACCUGGGGCUCAACCCCGGGCCUGCAGCCGAUACGGGCAAACUAGAAUUCGGUAGGGGAGACUGGAAUUCCUGGUGUAGCGGUGAAAUGCGCAGAUAUCAGGAGGAACACCGGUGGCGAAGGCGGGUCUCUGGGCCGAUAUUGACGCUGAGGAGCGAAAGCGUGGGGAGCAAACAGG